UUGAACGCUGGCGGCAUGCUUUACACAUGCAAGUCGAACGGCAGCGGGGGCUUCGGCCUGCCGGCGAGUGGCGAACGGGUGAGUAAUGCAUCGGAACGUACCCAGUCGUGGGGGAUAACUACGCGAAAGCGUAGCUAAUACCGCAUACGCCCUGAGGGGGAAAGCGGGGGACCUUCGGGCCUCGCGCGAUUGGAGCGGCUGAUGUCGGAUUAGCUAGUUGGUGGGGUAAAGGCCUACCAAGGCGACGAUCCGUAGCUGGUCUGAGAGGAUGAUCAGCCACACUGGGACUGAGACACGGGCCAGACUCCUACGGGAGGCAGCAGUGGGGAAUUUUGGACAAUGGGCGCAAGCCUGAUCCAGCCAUGCCGCGUGAGUGAAGAAGGCCUUCGGGUUGUAAAGCUCUUUCAGACGGGAAGAAGGACGCGAAAGCGUAUUGACAUUACUUUCAGAAGAAGCACCGGCUAACUCUGU
RNAcentral lists this ribosomal RNA (471 nucleotides) under uncultured bacterium. RNAcentral's name for it is "bacterial SSU rRNA". It matches the Rfam family "Bacterial small subunit ribosomal RNA", at positions 29 to 506 of the family's 1533-position model. The record is from RNAcentral.